UGGGGAAUAUUGGACAAUGGGCGAAAGCCUGAUCCAGCCAUGCCGCGUGUGUGAUGAAGGCCUUAGGGUUGUAAAGCACUUUUGUCAGGGAAGAUAAUGACGGUACCUGAAGAAUAAGCACCGGCUAACUUCGUGCCAGCAGCCGCGGUAAUACGAAGGGUGCUAGCGUUGUUCGGAAUCACUGGGCGUAAAGCGCGCGUAGGCGGCGAUAUAAGUCAGAGGUGAAAGCCUGGAGCUCAACUCCAGAACUGCCUUUGAAACUAUAUUGCUAGAGUGUCGGAGGGGAUAGCGGAAUUGCUAAUGUAGAGGUGAAAUUCGUAGAUAUUAGCAGGAACACCGGUGGCGAAGGCGGCUAUCUGGACGACAACUGACGCUGAGGCGCGAAAGCGUGGGGAUCAAACAGG
RNAcentral lists this ribosomal RNA (404 nucleotides) under uncultured bacterium. RNAcentral describes it as "bacterial SSU rRNA". It matches the Rfam family "Bacterial small subunit ribosomal RNA", at positions 355 to 776 of the family's 1533-position model. The record is from RNAcentral.